Molecule: transfer RNA, 81 nt
Filed under: Rosellinia necatrix
Lineage: Eukaryota; Fungi; Ascomycota; Sordariomycetes; Xylariales; Xylariaceae
Rfam family: tRNA
About the family: Transfer RNA (tRNA) molecules are approximately 80 nucleotides in length.
Source: Rfam by way of RNAcentral
GGCAACGUGGCUGAGUGGUUAAACCGUAUGACUAGGGGUCAUAUCUCUUCGGGGUCGUAGGUUCAAAUCCUGCCAUUGUCG